RNAcentral lists this ribosomal RNA (253 nucleotides) under uncultured bacterium. RNAcentral's name for it is "partial 16S ribosomal RNA". It matches the Rfam family "Bacterial small subunit ribosomal RNA", at positions 524 to 776 of the family's 1533-position model. The record is from RNAcentral.
UACGGAGGGGGCUAGCGUUGUUCGGAAUUACUGGGCGUAAAGCGCACGUAGGCGGAUCAGUUAGUCGGGGGUGAAAUCCUGGAGCUCAACUCCAGAACUGCCUUUGAUACUGAUGAGCUUGAGUCCGGGAGAGGUGAGUGGAACUGCGAGUGUAGAGGUGAAAUUCGUAGAUAUUCGCAAGAACACCAGUGGCGAAGGCGGCUCACUGGCCCGGUACUGACGCUGAGGUGCGAAAGCGUGGGGAGCAAACAGG